This is a long non-coding RNA of Panicum virgatum (switchgrass), 3299 nucleotides long. RefSeq lists it as uncharacterized. The transcript has 2 exons. Lineage: Eukaryota; Viridiplantae; Streptophyta; Magnoliopsida; Poales; Poaceae. The record is from RefSeq and is a predicted model, not a curated record.
AAAUAGUUGUAGCUACAAACAAACCCAACAACUGUUCUACAACGUCUUGCUCAUAAGACAUGGUGAUAUGCAUCAUAGCACAUAUGCAUUAAAUACUUGCAUCCGCCAUCUUACGUUGCUCUAUGGGUGCGUUAAAUUCUUACAGCUGUCACCAACCACUACAUUAAUGUAUUAAAUACUUGCAGCUGCCAACAACCCAACAACCACGUUACAUAAUCCUAUAUAUUAAAAGACUUACUAUUAUAUAUUACUUGAACCACAUGUGUUGAUGCUUUUCUAGCACGUGGCGUAUAGCCAAUGAGCAACCUAGAACGUGGAACAUUGCAAAGAUGAAGCGUCCAUCUUCUCAACAAGAUUUAAUUAGUCCAACUGGAAAUUAGAGCCUGCCAACUAUUCAUGACAACUAGCUAAAGAGCUGUCAGCAUCUUGUAUAAAUAACGGUGCCCGGAUGGCUAGUGAGAACACAGGGCAACAUAUAGCAGCAAGUCUUAACUAGCAGUGAAUGGGUGUUCUUCUUUUGUUCGUGUCACUUCUGGUUGCUGUGGCCGGCAGUGGUCACUGUGCAGCUUUGGUGACAUGAGCCUUGUUGCAUGUAGAAAAUAAGGAAGAUGAGGCCGAAAACCUCCUUCAUCUAUGGCGAGUUGUAUUUCCUAUGCUAAUAUAUGUGGUCCCUGGCUCUAGUACUAAGCAUGUUCCAUCUACCCAUGUGUGCUCAUCUACAAAUGUGUUAUAUUUAUUUAUUUUAUCGCAUGUUUUUUUUUCUAUUUACACUCACAUUUCUGACUUGCUAUCCAUGACAGGUCCACUUGCCUGAUACCAAGGCUUCUUGUGAACUCCUCUCUCCAUCUCCCAAAGAGUGCCAUAGUUUAAUGUACCUGCAUGCACAUAAAAAAAUUAAUCCAUCCUUUGUCCCCUCACCUUUUCUAGUGCUCAACAUCCUCUCACCCCUCCCUGUUUUGCUACCUGUGUCCUCUCCUUUGUGAUUAUUAAAUUGCAUUUUCCAUCCGGGUUUGGCAACUGUUAACAGGAGCAUGACUUUCUCAAUGGUACUCUUGUUUUGCACAAUCCUAAGUGGGGUUCCUCACCUGGUAGCAUGUGAAGGUUCCAAUCUUUCUUUGUGGCGUUGAGCCACGCCUAGUCCAAGUGCAUAACAUUUUUUAUUUCAAUCAACUUGGAGUCGCUUGGUAAAGUAUACUGAUCUAACAAAGAAAACAUCACCUCACCAUUUCAUUUCUUGAUUCCUUCCAUCAAAUAAGCUUUUAGUUAGUUGGAAUGUUGUCAUAACAGGCCAUCUUCAGAUGACCUAUGCACUGAACUUUUAAUCACACCUAGGGAUCUUGCAAGUGUACUCCGAUCCUCAUGUAGUCCUAUGUUAGGCAAUUGUAGCUACACGUGAUUGAUAAACUUUAUUUUUUUUGCAUUAUCAUCUAUUGGGCUCCUUUAAUGAUACAUCAACUGCUACACCUUUCUCAUAACAUUCGACUAUAUGCCGGCUAAUAUUGAACUUUUGGGCAACUAGGACAAAUAAAAAUGAUCAAUCUGGUGAAUGUGCUCUAAGCAAAAUCAUUGUUUCAAAAUGUGAACAUACCUAGCUCGUCAUGCAGAUUGUGCUCAAUGUCUUCUAGGUCAUGGACAAAAUUAAGUGUUGUUUUGUUAUUCUGCUGAAGAAAUUAAUCAUUUUCUAAAUGUCUAGCAAAGUAGAGACUACUAGAAAUUUGGCAUUUUAGAAUGGAUAGAAAUCAUUGCAAUGGGCCUGAAAUCGUGACAUAUCUACCAAAAUAGUCACUAUUUCACUUCUAUUGGCUGGCAUGGCAACUAGCUGCAUGGUUAAAAGAUUGGACCAUGGUUUUUUUCAAUUGUUGCAAUAAAAGUGGUAAUUGUCACAUGAUGAAAUAGUAGUUGCAACAAUAUAAUUUUCUGGUAGAAGAACAUUCCAAAUUAUUAUAACCAUAAAAAACUGCUAGUUGGAAUCUAACCUUAGACCUAUUAGGCACAUAAUCCCUUACCACUACAUUAGAGAUACUUCUAUUUUAUAUUUUACUAAAAAUUAUUUUACAUUUUACUAAAAAAAUUAGCUUAUCCUCUUUGUACACAACAAGAAUGCACAAAAAAUAUGGCCAUAAUUAUGAAAACACAGCAAUAGUACUCAUAUAUUGUAACAAUGCUUCAUGUAGGUAAUAUUCGAUUUCAUUGAUGCAAACACUUUUGGGACUAUUGCCACACUAUAAUAUGGCUAGACAAUCAUCAUAAUUCAAAAAUAUAUUCUAUUUUUCAGAAAAGAUGGUUGAUCUGACAUAUACUGAUUGCAACAAUAGUUUUUGGAUUUGAACAGCGAACGGUCUUUUUCGGACCAUCCAUGAUAACUUUGUUUCUCCCUAUUUUGAGCGUAAUGGCUGGAAUUCAGGGAGUUGCUAUAAAUACCCCUUACUCUGCGUAGGAGAGGUCUCUUGGCACUUUGCAAAGGUUCUUUGAUAUUCCCAAGCCAACCUUCCCCUCUGCCUCACUUACUUUGGUUAGCGAUUUCUCUUGUGAGUGCGAGAGCAUCUGAGUGCAUUUCAUCAAGUGUUUGAGCUUUGUGACACUAGAAAAUCUUCAAGUAAGCGUCAUUGGCUUGUUAGUCUUAGGUGUUGUUGCCUUACAGAUGGCUUGGAGAACAUGACAUCAUUGGGCCAUUCAAGAAGAUUGUGGAGGAGGCCCGGCUAUUCUUGUGAGAGGUUCUCGAGCUCACCCUGACAGAGUGGUAAAGAGCAACUCUAGUGCCAUUAAGGUUUGAUGAGAUUCUUUGAUUCAAGCUGGCUCAAAAUCAAGUGGAGUUGUGAUAGAGGAGCAGUUGAGGCAUUGAAUCCACCUCAACAUGGAUUAGGGUUGACCGGCAUGUCAUCAUCAAAACCACAAAAAAUCAUCUCUUUUGUCCAGUUAUUCAUUUGCCCAAUUUCAUUCUCAAUUUACUUUAAGCAAUUUGCACUUGCACUGAAAGAGAUUGAAUAUUUCCUGUCACCCUAGGAUGCAAACCCUCACUAGAACUAGUGUUAGUAGAUAAGCUCUCUCUCUCUCUCUCUCAUGUUAGUAAUUAAAUUUGCUGAGUGUUGUGAUUUUAGUUGAAACCGCCUAUUCACCCCCCACUAUUCGGUAUAAUUGAUCCUACAAUCUACCACUAUAUUCUUGUUGUGCACGUUGAUAUUAUGCUCCUUGACCGAUCCCCUCGUAGGGCAGGAGGACCUAUGUUGAUGUACCCAGGGUAAACAUCCCCCGCAAAAGGCACCACAAGUGUUUCAAUGGAAGAUGCAAAAUUUGGAUCU